This 253-nucleotide ribosomal RNA is filed under the name uncultured bacterium. RNAcentral's name for it is "partial 16S ribosomal RNA". It matches the Rfam family "Bacterial small subunit ribosomal RNA", at positions 524 to 776 of the family's 1533-position model. The record is from RNAcentral.
UACGUAGGGUGCAAGCGUUAAUCGGAAUUACUGGGCGUAAAGCGUGCGCAGGCGGUUGUGCAAGACAGGUGUGAAAUCCCCGGGCUUAACCUGGGAAUGGCGUUUGGGACUGGAUGGCUUGGAUCCGGGAGAGGGAUGCGGAAUUCCAGGUGUAGCGGUGAAAUGCGUAGAUAUCUGGAGGAACACCGGUGGCGAAGGCGGCAUCCUGGACCGGUAUUGACGCUGAGGAGCGAAAGCCAGGGGAGCGAACGGG